AACCUGGAGGCAGAGGUUGCAGUGAGCUGAGAUCGCGCCAAAGGAAAGGGUCAAGGCAGAUCCAUUUCCCUCAACAUUUGGGCACAGACAGGCCUUUCUGGUAUAGGGGGAAGAGGCGGAUUUUGAUUUCGAGCCCCGUAAUUUGUUGAUUCUGAGAGUGUGCCCAUAGACAGGUUCACUGAAGGCUGCGUGGACAGCAAAUGCAACGGGCUUUAUGUUGAAUGGUGGCACACUUUGGGGAGCAGAGGAUGCACUGUAGGCUCACACCCUACAUCCGUGUGUUCCCUCUGUGUCCCAAGCCCAGGGGGAUGCCCAGCCUCAUCCUGCCCUGUCUUCCCAGGGCCAGCGGCAGUCAGCCCAUGUGGCUGCUGCACGAACCCCGCACUGACGCUGGACCAAGGCCUUGAGUGCCGUGCACGGACCACCUGCUUCGGACCCCACACCUGCAGUGCUGGGGAAAAUUACACCUUUUGGGGCCCCACGCCAGACCUCCCAGUCAGGAUCUCUGGGGUCUGUGCCUGGGGACUGCACUGAACCUUCAUCUCGGGUGAUUUGAGAGCCCCAUGAGAGUCCACCUGUGCCUUCCACACCUUUCCUCUGGGGGUGACCGUCCCACAGGGACCAGCCCCAGCCCUGCUCUCCGGGCCCCUACCACCACUGCCUCUUCAAACGCCGGCCCAUGAACCCCACAGGCACCCCGUAAGGCCGGCAGCAUCGUUUCCAGAUGGGCCCAGAAGCUUGAGCCGUGGCAAAGCUCAUGGGAUUUGGGAGCUGGGAUUCUGGGCUACUGUGCCUUGCACUCGCCCAAACCCAGCAGAGACUGUGGACUGGAGCAAGAGCGCUGUGAACCCAGCCUGGCUGCUCCCUGGAGAGGAGGGCGCGGGACUGGACUGAGCCCCACAAGCCUGAGGGAGGAGCACGGGCCUCAGGGGCUCCUGCUCUGGGCUACCACGGCUUCUUCCUGGCUGUGUUUCUUCUGGUCCAUCGGGCAACCUCUCUGAAUUCAACUGUCCAAUCAACAAAACGUGGGUAAGGGAGCACCCCUUUGCCUCUUCCAGGGUGGAAGGGGAGGGCGGGGGUGACCCUCUCUCGGCUUCCUCCCCUGUCCACCUUCCCAUUUUAGACCUGGGAUGGGAGACGUGUAGACUGUGUUCCAGGAUUCAGUCCCAGGUUCUUGGCAGAUGUGAAUGCUUGGCUGCCCUUCAGGCUGAGUGUAGCUGCCACAAAGACAAAGGGCCCAGCUGACCCUAGGGCUACUGUGUGCCCUCAUUCUGAGGCCUGCGAGUUGCCAGCCCUAUCCCUUCAAAGGGGUAGUUAGGUGCGUGUAUCUCACACCUGGACGCAUCACAAUGAGGUGGGAAAGUCAAGCACCUCCACAGCCCUUCCCUCUGGGACCCAGGGGAGUCUUCCCAGCCCCUAGCACUCCCCACUCUCCACCAAGGCCAACCAGCACCUGAGGGCAGGCCCCUCCCUGCCCCCAGCACAACUUCCUGACCAGGGACCACAGGCCUAGGGUCUGUGUCACUGAUCAACUGUGAAGGCUGAGACAUAGCCACCCCCACCCAUUCUGAAAAGGAAAAGCCCUCAGAGCUUCCCAGACUGGCACCUGCUCCUAGGGUGUGAGGAGGGUAGCACAGGGUCUGCCCUCAGAGACCUCAGGCUCAGAGAAUCAAGCUUCUCCCUCCCCUCCUGGGACCUACAGGGUCUGAGAUCGUCCACCAGGAGGAGGAGAAAGGAGUAGAGACCCCCUUCCUCGCUGCUGUCCUGGGACAGCCGGCACCCCUGGCACCCUCUGCCUCCCCACACUUCCAUGGCUUUGCCCUCUUGGCUUUCUGAGCCUCUGCCAAGCUUCUGUGCAUUCUUCAAGACCCACCUCAAAAGCCACCUCCAGGAAGCUGUCCUGGGUUCCUGUCCCUCGACCCCCAACAGAAUUAACUGCCCUCUCCUCUGCUCCCGCCUCCUGCUCCAGGCCCCUGGGGCUCACAGCUCUCAGGCUGUGGUUUUUCUCACCUUCCUGCAGCACAGCACCUCCCUGCGCAGACCAACCUUAUCCAAUCAACAAACGGGCACUGAGUCCCUCCCUGAGCAAGCUCCGUGGAGGAAAGGGGCCGCCACGUGGGGGAUGUGAGAUAGUUUAUCCCCUUGGCCUACAUGUAGGGGUGGGCUGGAUGAGGCACCCCUCUCAUUGAAAGUCCUGUGGAGGCUCUGAGGGCACCCACAGUAUCUAGAGCUGGGGCCAGAAGCUGGACCUGUUGCCAACCAAGACGCUGUCUCCCUGGCCCUUGCUUCCCUCACUGUGAGAAUAGGAGCGGUGCACGCAAAGGCAUGCCCUCAGCAGCCCUUUGAGGGGGGUGCUGUGAGGGGAUUGGUGGCCAGGGCACAGAAAGGUUAAGUGGCUGGCUGAGGUCACACAGCAAGGCAGGUGCAACUCCAAGAGGUCUCUGCACAGGGCAUGUUCUCUGUCUGCCCUCUCUGCUACUCCAGGUGUGGCCUCGGGAGAGGGCUGGUCUCCAACUGCACACUUCCUGGAUAGCAGUGAUCAUGGACACAUUUCAGGUUGGGCACUUGCAGUGCCAAGGGGAGGAGGACGCAAUGUGAAGGGAAGGUUUCUUGGUCGUGGUCUGGAUUGACAAGGAGGGCCAGAGGCAAACAAGGAUCAUCCAGACGGGACGGUUCACCUCUCCCUAACCUCCACAGCGACCCCAGGGCUGUUGGGCACCAGAGGAGGAAAUGCUGACUCACUAAUAGGAAGCUGGGACACACCCUCGUGUUGCAACCGUGGCCUCCCGGGGGUGCGUCGGCCUCAUCUGGCCACUGGGCUGGCGUCCCCCUCUGCUUUCCAUCAGCGCAUACUGGAUUCCCUCACCUUUUGCCGUCCCCACACUGCGCCACCCUGCACCUGGCACCACUCAGCACCUCCUCCUGGCCCUACCCGUCCGCCAUGGAAUCCAGCCACUGAGAAAGGCACCAUUGAAACAGACAUAAUCAUGGGUCAGAAGAUGUGACUCAGCCUCUACUCAAAUCUGUUUGUCAAACCAAAAGGUGCUUCGUGUUUAAGUCAAACUAUCCCUAAUGCAUUUUCCAUUCUCUUCAAAAACCACAGCCAUCAGUUUUAAAAAAAGACAGAAAACAUGAAGCACACUUCUCUUGCCUGGCUUACCAUUUUCUUUGAUCCAUUAAAAUCCAAGAGUGAGCCCUUCCUCGUCUCUAGAGUGUGGAGCAAAGAGGGAAUAAUUAUCCAUAAAGUGGCCUUCUGAGUGUUUGCUUUGCGAUGAAAGAAAACUUUUGAGAGCUUGGAAUAAAGAAGGAAUAUGGGCUCCCUUUCCUGCAGUAGCUACUUUGUUUGGGUCUGAGAAGCACCAGUCAUGGUCAAGGUGAAACUUAGUGGCUGGGAUGGCUGGAGGAAGGAGCCGUUUGCUUAUUCAUUCAAGCAAAUGAGGGUGUCCUCGGCGGCAAAAUUCACCAGACUCAGAAAACUGCCCUGCCCCGUGACUUCCAUCUGCUCCUCUCCUGAUAAUUGUAAAAGCCAAUGAAGAUUGUGCUUCUUAACUACACAUCAGCCGGCUGAUUGUAAGUGUUGGGAAUAUAAUUAGGGGUACACGGCUCUGACCCUCACUCUUCGUAGGUUUAACAAGAUUGGACUUACGCAAUGGCAAGAAGGAAACCGAGAUUGAAAAUGACCAAUUUUGCUGGUUGAGAGGCGUCUUGUUUUCUGGAAGAAACUGAGAAUCUGCAGUUGUAGACUGGGAAUGCUAGAACCUCUGGAGUGGCAUCAACUCGAUCGGGGGCCAAAACCAUGAGAAAGCACCAAUAUUUUCCACCGUUUUUAACCAAACUCGGCUGUUGUUGGUCUAAAACCUGCCCUGGGUUUUGAGGGAGCGGUGCUUUUGUGAGCCCAGCUUGCCUUGAGUGCAUGGAUGGGAACCUGAAACCAGCCAGUCUUGCCUCCCACCCUCUCAACUUUUCCAGUAAAAAAUGUGACGGGCACUUUUUUUCCAGUAAAACUGUUCCCCCAGCAGGACAGCCUAUAUGCAGCUAGGUUCCUGGCAAAUGAGCAGGGAAUAAUAGCUGGCUAGAGGUGGGCGGGACUGAAAUACAGCUGUCCACCUCUCCGGAAAACAUCACCCAGGGUUCUCCCCAUCCCCAUCUGACCUUCCAGCCACUAAACAAAUAAAUAAGGCCUUAGAAGCUCCUAGAGUCAACCACAGCCUCAGCUUCUAAACCGAGGCUGUGAUUCUACGAAACUCACCUCACAUCUGUGUCAUCUUUGAAAGACUCCAAUGGCUGGAUUGGUUUGAUCCUAUUCCGAAGGGCUUAUAAAGAAGAAUCCAGCCGGGUGUGGUGGCUCACACCUGUAAUCCCAGCACUUUGGGAGGCCAAGGCGGGUGGAUCA
This 4393-nucleotide long non-coding RNA is filed under the name Homo sapiens (human). RNAcentral describes it as "HSALNT0406413". The record is from RNAcentral. Lineage: Eukaryota; Metazoa; Chordata; Mammalia; Primates; Hominidae.